RNAcentral lists this long non-coding RNA (1056 nucleotides) under Fragaria vesca (wild strawberry). RNAcentral's name for it is "long non-coding RNA (FVES_LNC004349)". The record is from RNAcentral. Lineage: Eukaryota; Viridiplantae; Streptophyta; Magnoliopsida; Rosales; Rosaceae.
AACAAACGGGAAAUGCGCAAUAUGUGACUCGCCCAAGACAUUAUUUUAGUCUGUGUAGUAGUAUCUCGUUAGAGAACUACUAUGUCUGUUUCCGAUAGAAAAUGUGUAUCUACGUAAUGUAAUAACAGAACUAUUUUCUCUUUGAAUAAUAAAAAAAGUUCAACUCUUCCUCACGGUCCAUAUCUAAUUUUAGUAAGAGCGGGUUCAUCGAAAUAGAAAAUUGAUCAAGAAUUUCGUUGGAAUAAAUUUACUACCAUUUGUAUUUCUUUUACUUUUUAUUCUUUUACUUUCGAAAUACAAACACGGAAAUAAUUGAAAUAUUUGUUAAAUUGAAAGAGUAUUCUUCAUAUAUAUUAUUCAAAAACUAUAUUACAACACUAAACCCAAGAAAAUUUCGAAAUACAGAUGUUUUUUUAUUUCUAUUUACAAUUUAAAAAUUGAAUUUUUAAAUUGAAAUAGUGUUGAAAUAGUGAAAUUUCAACUAAAAAAAGCUUUUCAGAACUGAACGAUUUAUACAAAAAAAAAUUGAUAAAGUUUAAUUCCUAAACUCAAUUACAAUUAGUAAUACUUCUAGAGUCCACUUCUUCCCCAUACUACGAGUGAAAGGGAAAAUAGUAAAGACUACCAUUAAAGCAGCCCAAGCGAGAUUUACUAUAUCCAUAUGAAUUAUGUCCCCUAUCUCUAUGACGGAAUUCUUGAAUUAUUGUUCACUAAUAAAUAAUAGUGGAAUCACUGGCGCAGAGUCAAAAAUUCUGACCUAAGAUCGUUGAUGAAACAAUCCACUAAAUUCAACUCUAACUUAUAAGGAAGGGGUCUUAGAAGAGUUCUAGUAUAAUCAGAAAAGAUUAAGCACAAGCUUAAUAUGCGGAGACCCCCUCCCCUUGGAAGUAUCAAAGAAAUUAAAUUAAUAUGUAGAAAUAAGAAAAAUAGAUUCUUUCUUUUGUUGCCCUUCAUUAAGUAAGUAUAAAAAAAUAGAAGAAAGGUAGAUCACUACCUAGCCCAUACUCUAUUUCUUUCCCAUUUUAUUUUGAUCUAAUCCUUAACGUCUCCUUAUUG